GAACUUGGUUGAUGGCACCAUAGC
Molecule: non-coding RNA, 24 nt
Filed under: Arabidopsis thaliana (thale cress)
Lineage: Eukaryota; Viridiplantae; Streptophyta; Magnoliopsida; Brassicales; Brassicaceae
Source: RNAcentral